UACAGAGGUCUCAAGCGUUGUUCGGAUUCAUUGGGCGUAAAGGGUGCGUAGGCGGCGCGGUAAGUCGGGUGUGAAAUCUCGGAGCUUAACUCCGAAACUGCAUUCGAUACUGCCGUGCUUGAGGACUGGAGAGGAGACUGGAAUUUACGGUGUAGCGGUGAAAUGCGUAGAGAUGUGGAGGAACACCAGUGGCGAAGGCGACUCUUUGGUCUGUAACUGACGCUGAGGCGCGAAAGCGUGGGGAGCAAACAGG
This 253-nucleotide ribosomal RNA is filed under the name uncultured bacterium. RNAcentral describes it as "partial 16S ribosomal RNA". It matches the Rfam family "Bacterial small subunit ribosomal RNA", at positions 524 to 776 of the family's 1533-position model. The record is from RNAcentral.